GGCGGGUAGCGAACAUGGCGUUCAAGUGGUUUAGAAGUCCAUGCCACUGGUUAGUAGCCGGUGAGGGUUCGAUUCCUUUACCCGCCUCC
Molecule: transfer RNA, 89 nt
Filed under: Pseudomonas phage PPSC2
Lineage: Duplodnaviria; Heunggongvirae; Uroviricota; Caudoviricetes; Vandenendeviridae
Description: tRNA-Ser
Source: RNAcentral